CGGACCUGGCCCCACCCAGUCAGAACUGCAGCCCCUGAAGUCUCUACAAGAGGCUUGUUUCUGGACAGGAAGCUCGUUCUGUGGGGACUUCCAACAAAAACUCUGGAAUCACCCAGACUUAGGUUUGAAGCCCGAUGGUGCCACUGACGACCUGUGUGGCCCUGGGGAAGCAACUCAAUGUCACCUCUGGACAACAGAUCUACUAAAUCCUGCUAGCUGGGGUCUGAGGAUGCCAUCAGGUCUAGACAAAACCAGCUGAGCUGGAAGUGGGGCCGAGGGCCAGCGUGGGAAGAACGAACGAAAGCAGAGGACGCCUCAAGCUGGCUGCGUCCUGGGACUGGGAGAGCUGCAGAGAGAGGACUCCGCCACGAGGCACAGACUUAGUGAAGCAGAGCUGACUGCCUAGGACCCCCGAGUUUCUCUUUGUCUGAACUGGUUCACCAACAUGCUCCUCGGGAAACAUCCAGACGGACAGGACUUGGAGAGCUUCCGGGCCAGUGACUACAUGGAUGUGAGGAGAGUGGUGCUGGGAGAGGAUGGGGCCUCCGAGCAGGGAAACCGACACCCUUCCCGACGCAUCGUCUUCGGUCUGGGCGGUCAU
Long non-coding RNA from Capra hircus (goat), 601 nucleotides. RefSeq lists it as uncharacterized. The transcript is spliced from 3 exons. The record is from RefSeq and is a predicted model, not a curated record. NCBI's taxonomy places the organism in Eukaryota, Metazoa, Chordata, Mammalia, Artiodactyla, Bovidae.